This is a long non-coding RNA of Rhododendron vialii, 711 nucleotides long. RefSeq lists it as uncharacterized. The transcript has 2 exons. Lineage: Eukaryota; Viridiplantae; Streptophyta; Magnoliopsida; Ericales; Ericaceae. The record is from RefSeq and is a predicted model, not a curated record.
UAUGGAUGGAGUGAGUUGGUGGGUGAGAGUGUGUCGUGUGUGUGGCAACGGGUUAAUAUUAUAUUGGACGUCGUGUACGGUGGUGAUCACUGUUGUCGUGGUAUGGGAAUUGCUAGUGUUAGGAGUACUUCUGUGGAAUGAUUUUAAUAAUUGAUGGUGGCAGUAGACUUGGAUAUAUAGUUUUGGUUUUGUACAAGUUUCACUAGAAGGUAUUUUCUUUUAAUGCUAUUAGACAGUGGUGUGUGCUCGUGGUUGGAGGCAUGGAGUUUGGUUUUAGUGGUGGUGAUUACAGAGGGUAGUAGUUAGGAUUAGGCUAAGUUUUAUUUUGAUAGGAAGUGGUAUUCUGUAUCUACAAAGUGUAUAUUUGCAUAGUUAGUCAUUUUGUGCUUUGUUCUUUUAUUCAGGUUGGCAUCUUUUUGUGCGUUCGAUUGCAUUACUUUUGGACUCAGGCAAGUUGGGGAGUUAGGCAAGGACUCUGGCGGCACCUCGGGGAUUCUUUUGUUUGACCUCCUUAGGGUGUCUAAUCUUAGUUUUAUUUUAAUAAAUCGCUUCCGCAUGCGAAACAAUUGUCAGAUAACAACUCCUUUUUAUUAUUGUUGGAUCACUGGAUAUUGGUUGGUUCAUGGGAUGGUUGUGCCCCAUACUUUUUGUUGAACUUAAUUGGUUGGAGUUGUUCUUAAUAAAAAAAAUGGUUGACUGUAUAUUGGUUCA